Molecule: ribosomal RNA, 203 nt
Filed under: uncultured Bacteroidota bacterium
Lineage: Bacteria; Pseudomonadati; Bacteroidota
Description: uncultured Bacteroidetes bacterium partial 16S ribosomal RNA
Rfam family: Bacterial small subunit ribosomal RNA
Source: RNAcentral
CUGAGAGGUUAACCCCCCACACUGGUACUGAGACACGGACCAGACUCCUACGGGAGGCAGCAGUGAGGAAUAUUGGUCAAUGGACGCAAGUCUGAACCAGCCAUGCCGCGUGCAGGAUGACGGCUCUAUGAGUUGAAAACUGCUUUUGUACGAGGGUAAACGCAGAUACGUGUAUCUGUCUGAAAGUAUCGUACGAAUAAGGA